GGUGGCUCUAAAUAUAUAAAAAGUAUUAUCAAUAUAAAUUUAACCUCAAAAAUAGCCCCUUUAAACAACCACUUCAAAGUAGUAAUUUAACCAUAUUUUGUGACCAACUAAAAUUUAAUAAUGUGGCUCUUACUACAUUAUAUAAUAAAUUGUACAUUAAAUAUUAUGUGGAUUAUUUUCACAUAGUAGUCGAACCACAACACAAUACUAUUUUACUAAAUUGACCCACCCUAUUCUAACCAUUAUGACCUUCGUCCCAACCCCCUCAUUUCUAUCUCCCACUCCCUUUGUUCUCAUCUCCACUCCUACAAUUACAACACCACUCCCUUUGUUCCCAGUUCUCAUCCCAACCUCCCUCGUUCUCAACCCCCGCUCCC
Molecule: long non-coding RNA, 377 nt
Filed under: Physcomitrium patens
Lineage: Eukaryota; Viridiplantae; Streptophyta; Bryopsida; Funariales; Funariaceae
Description: long non-coding RNA (PPAT_LNC002706)
Source: RNAcentral